Molecule: long non-coding RNA, 1494 nt
Filed under: Bemisia tabaci
Lineage: Eukaryota; Metazoa; Arthropoda; Insecta; Hemiptera; Aleyrodidae
Description: lncRNA ENSSWEETPG010602
Source: RNAcentral
AAAGAUCGUUGCACGAGCCAAAAGCUAUGCAUAUCUUGAAAUAUUAGCUACUGUAUUGUAAGAUAUGCAAGAUGUUGCAUAUUACAUCACUUAAGUCUAUCACUCUCAUAGUUGACCCUUGAAACUUGUUGAGUAGACCUCCGAAAAUUCACUUGUAAACGCGAUCAGCAGUAUCGCUCGACUUGUUAUCUAGUGAUGGGAGAUUAACGAAGAGCAUUGAUUGAGAGGAGAGAAAGUAAACCAACAAUUAAUUCAGUGUUUAUCGGUUCAGCUAGCUGGCGAGUUUCUGUGAUAAAUUAAGUGAGCUUCUAAUUUUCAGUUUUACCUUAAUAAUGUCACCGCGAAGAAUAAUUUACACAGAGGCGGCUCCAAAGCCCAUUGGGCCCUACAGCCAGGCCGUUUUGAUUGAUAAGACUCUUUACAUAUCUGGAAUUACGGGAAAUGCCCUGCUUCCGGUAAAUUAGUAUCAGGGGGUGUAGUUGAGCAAGCAAGACAACUUUUCAAAAAUAUGGCUGCCAUCUUAAAAGAGGCAGGCGGAGACUUUAGCAAUGACUUCAAGGAACCGCAUCCAGCCCGAUCAUGUUUCCAAGUAGUUAAAAACCCUCUCGUAAGUUUUAUGUUAAAAUCGUCCCUUUUGAAUUCCAAAAAAAUUCAAAGAAUUAAUUUCAAAAUCAUGGAAUUUCAAUUAUUUUAAUUUGCGAAGAAUUUGAGAGUCUGAAGUAUCCAUAUCGAUGACUGAAGCGGAAAAAUCGUAUCUCAAUUAUUGCAACGCUUCAAAAUGAUCGAUCGUUCCGAUUUUACAAUUGAUUAUUUUUUCUAAUUUUUUUUUUUAUUUUAGAAAAAAACCAACUGUAAUAUCUAUAUGAAAUUUCUAGUGGACGUUUUUAAUUGAGUGAAACAUAUUUGCAAAAAAUAAUUUUAGGGAAAACCUUCUUUUCUUGUUUUUAUCUCUAUACCUGACAACAAAAUAAAAUAUGAGGGGAGAUAUGCAAUGCCUCAGUCGGUGAUGCGUAUUUGUCAACUAUAGCCAUCAAUAUUGAGGGUAUCAUUUAAGAUAUGUUUAAUAAAGUUUGUUCUCUUCCAUUUACUGCAUGGACUCGGCGAGUCGGGAGAUGAAUACUCCAUCGAUAAAACUUUAACUCACUCCGACAAGGAAAAAAGUCUCCUCCAAGGUUCUGCGUGACUCCGAGAAGAAUAUUUAAUACGCCAAGAAAGCGCUGAAUUUUAUCGAGUGAAAUUUUAGUCGCGAUACAAAAGUUUUCUUAUUAUGAUAAAAUUUUCUGGUCGUUACUUUUGUAAAAAAUUCAAUCAACAUGGCGCAAAAAAUCGUUUGAACGGCGCAAUGGUAUCUUCUUGAUCUAAUCAUAUUAUAAUUUCAAAGCCUUGUUUUGUAUAGAAGUUGCAUAGUUUUCUUAAGCGCUCAGCCGAUAAGCAGCGCUUUUUGAUUUCGACUUGCCUCUAGAGUACUAGUAUACUAGUGCUAAUUCGUUUAAG